Molecule: ribosomal RNA, 271 nt
Filed under: uncultured bacterium
Lineage: Bacteria
Description: partial 16S ribosomal RNA
Rfam family: Bacterial small subunit ribosomal RNA
Source: RNAcentral
CUUUGCUGGCGACCGGCGCACGGGUGAGUAACACGUAUCCAACCUGCCCUUUACUCGGGGAUAGCCUUUCGAAAGAAAGAUUAAUACCCGAUAGUAUAAUGAUUCCGCAUGGUUUCAUUAUUAAAGGAUUCCGGUAAAGGAUGGGGAUGCGUUCCAUUAGGUUGUUGGUGAGGUAACGGCUCACCAAGCCUUCGAUGGAUAGGGGUUCUGAGAGGAAGGUCCCCCACAUUGGAACUGAGACACGGUCCAAACUCCUACGGGAGGCAGCAUG